UCUACGGGAGGCUGCAGUGGGGAAUAUUGCACAAUGGGCGCAAGCCUGAUGCAGCCAUGCCGCGUGUGUGAAGAAGGCCUUCGGGUUGUAAAGCACUUUCAGCGGGGAGGAAGGCGGUGAGGUUAAUAACCUCAUCGAUUGACGUUACCCGCAGAAGAAGCACCGGCUAACUCCGUGCCAGCAGCCGCGGUAAUACGGAGGGUGCAAGCGUUAAGCGGAAUUACUGGGCGUAAAGCGCACGCAGGCGGUCUGUCAAGUCGGAUGUGAAAUCCCCGGGCUCAACCUGGGAACUGCAUUCGAAACUGGCAGGCUAGAGUCUUGUAGAGGGGGGUAGAAUUCCAGGUGUAGCGGUGAAAUGCGUAGAGAUCUGGAGGAAUACCGGUGGCGAAGGCGGCCCCCUGGACAAAGACUGACGCUCAGGUGCGAAAGCGUGGGGAGCAAACAGGAUUAGAUACCCGUGUAGUC
Molecule: ribosomal RNA, 465 nt
Filed under: uncultured Klebsiella sp.
Lineage: Bacteria; Pseudomonadati; Pseudomonadota; Gammaproteobacteria; Enterobacterales; Enterobacteriaceae
Description: bacterial SSU rRNA
Rfam family: Bacterial small subunit ribosomal RNA
Source: RNAcentral